GUGAUCCAAAUUUGCCGUUAAAAAAAAAAUUGAAACGAUACAUAGAAGAUUAGCAUGGCUCCUAAGCAAGGAUGACGUGCAUAAAUCGAGAAACAAUAAAAGAUAAG
Helianthus annuus (common sunflower) is the source of this 107-nucleotide non-coding RNA. Lineage: Eukaryota; Viridiplantae; Streptophyta; Magnoliopsida; Asterales; Asteraceae. The record is from Rfam.